Molecule: ribosomal RNA, 253 nt
Filed under: uncultured bacterium
Lineage: Bacteria
Description: partial 16S ribosomal RNA
Rfam family: Bacterial small subunit ribosomal RNA
Source: RNAcentral
UCUUCUUUGCUGGCGACCGGCGCACGGGUGAGUAACACGUAUCCACCUGCCCUUUACUCGGGGAUAGCCUUUCGAAAGAAAGAUUAAUACCCGAUAGCACAAUGAUUCCGCAUGGUUUCAUUAUUAAAGGAUUCCGGUAAAGGAUGGGGAUGCGUUCCAUUAGGUUGUUGGUGGGGUAACGGCCCACCAAGCCUUCGAUGGAUAGGGGUUCUGAGAGGAAGGUCCCCCACAUUGGAACUGAGACACGGUCCAA